AUGCAGUCGACGGGCUCUUCGGAGCAAGUGGCGGACGGGUGAGUAACGCGUGAGAAUGUGCCUUGAGGAUGGGGAUAACAAUAGGAAACUAAUGCUAAGACCCAAUGUGCCUUAAGUGGUGAAAAAUGAAAAUUGCCUGAAGAGGAGCUCGCGUCUGAUUAGCUAGUUGGGGUGGUAAAAGCGCACCAAGGCGACGAUCAGUAGCUGGUCUGAGAGGAUGAGCAGCCACACUGGGACUGAGACACGGCCCAGACUCCUACGGGAGGCAGCAGUGGGGAAUUUUCCGCAAUGGGCGAAAGCCUGACGGAGCAAUACCGCGUGAGGGAGGAAGGCUCUUGGGUUGUAAACCUCAAAACUUAGGGAAGAAAAAAAUGACGGUACCUAAUAUAAGCAUCGGCUAACUCCGUG
RNAcentral lists this ribosomal RNA (408 nucleotides) under uncultured bacterium. Its description in RNAcentral is "bacterial SSU rRNA". It matches the Rfam family "Bacterial small subunit ribosomal RNA", at positions 55 to 507 of the family's 1533-position model. The record is from RNAcentral.